GGCAUGUGGGAUCUUCCCGGACCAGGGCUCCAACCCGUGUCCCCUGCAUUGGCAGGUGGAUUCUUAACCACUGCACCACCAGGGAAGUCCCCGUUGAGUGGAUUCUGAUGGCUUCUCUGUCGACGUAAUUCAGGCUCUUCGAAUCUCAGGCUCGAAUCCGAAGUCAUCUAUGUAAUUUCCCUUCUGGGAUGGGAUAUCACGGUGGCUCCGAGAAUUCUGGGAGAGAACAUUAACUUGGUUUUGAGAAUUCUGAUGGAGAUGUUAAUGUGGUGCUGAGAACUGGGGCGGAAGGGGGGGUAAAAUGUUAGGAUGGCUCAGAAUUCUGGAAUGGAUUUUAGGCCAGCUCUGAAAAUUCUUGCUGGGAUGUUAGUCUGACUAUGAAAACAUGGGAUAAAACGUUAA
Aethalodelphis obliquidens (Pacific white-sided dolphin) is the source of this 402-nucleotide long non-coding RNA. RefSeq lists it as uncharacterized. The record is from RefSeq and is a predicted model, not a curated record. Lineage: Eukaryota; Metazoa; Chordata; Mammalia; Artiodactyla; Delphinidae. The transcript is spliced from 2 exons.